RNAcentral lists this transfer RNA (81 nucleotides) under bacterium. RNAcentral describes it as "tRNA-Leu". The record is from RNAcentral.
GGAGACCAAGGGGCCACCUCUGGUGAGGCACUCCGUGGUUAGCACUCGGAUUGGGGAGUUCAAUCCUCCUUGGCUCCACCA